GGGACCUUCGGGCCUUGCACUAUUGGAGUGGCCGAUAUCGGAUUAGCUAGUUGGUGGGGUAAAGGCCUACCAAGGCGACGAUCCGUAGCUGGUUUGAGAGGACGACCAGCCACACUGGGACUGAGACACGGCCCAGACUCCUACGGGAGGCAGCAGUGGGGAAUUUUGGACAAUGGGGGAAACCCUGAUCCAGCCAUCCCGCGUGUGCGAUGAAGGGCUUCGGGUUGUAAAGCACUUUUGUCAGGAAAGAAAUCCCCGGGAUAAUACUCGGGUGGA
RNAcentral lists this ribosomal RNA (276 nucleotides) under Kerstersia gyiorum. Its description in RNAcentral is "partial 16S ribosomal RNA". It matches the Rfam family "Bacterial small subunit ribosomal RNA", at positions 195 to 472 of the family's 1533-position model. Lineage: Bacteria; Pseudomonadati; Pseudomonadota; Betaproteobacteria; Burkholderiales; Alcaligenaceae. The record is from RNAcentral.